GGGAGCGGGCGAGACGGUCGCGUGCGCCGAGGGGGGCACGAGGAAAGUCCGGGCUCCGCAGGGCAGGAUGCUGGGUAACGCCCAGUGGGAGCGAUCCCGAGGACAGUGCAACAGAAAGGAGACCGCCGGGGUUUCCCCGGUAAGGGUGAAACGGUGAGGUAAGAGCUCACCAGCGCCCCCGGCGACGGGGGCGGCUAGGCAAACCCCAUCCGGAGCAAGGCCGCGUAGGAGAAGAGAAGCUGCCCGCUUCGCUCGAUUCUCGGGUUGGCCGCUCGAGCCGCGGAGCAAUCCGCGGCCUAGAGAAAUGACCGUUGCGGCCCUUGGGCCGAACAGAACCCGGCUUACGACCCGCUCCCGCUU
This 360-nucleotide RNase P RNA is filed under the name Candidatus Latescibacterota bacterium. Its description in RNAcentral is "Candidatus Latescibacteria bacterium RNase P RNA component class A". It matches the Rfam family "Bacterial RNase P class A". Rfam says of the family: Ribonuclease P (RNase P) is a ubiquitous endoribonuclease, found in archaea, bacteria and eukarya as well as chloroplasts and mitochondria. Its best characterised activity is the generation of mature 5'-ends of tRNAs by cleaving the 5'-leader elements of precursor-tRNAs. The record is from RNAcentral. Lineage: Bacteria; Pseudomonadati; Candidatus Latescibacterota.